RNAcentral lists this transfer RNA (73 nucleotides) under Canis lupus familiaris (dog). It matches the Rfam family "tRNA". Rfam says of the family: Transfer RNA (tRNA) molecules are approximately 80 nucleotides in length. Their secondary structure includes four short double-helical elements and three loops (D, anti-codon, and T loops). Further hydrogen bonds mediate the characteristic L-shaped molecular structure. tRNAs have two regions of fundamental functional importance: the anti-codon, which is responsible for specific mRNA codon recognition, and the 3' end, to which the tRNAs corresponding amino acid is attached (by aminoacyl-tRNA synthetases). tRNAs cope with the degeneracy of the genetic code in two manners: having more than one tRNA (with a specific anti-codon) for a particular amino acid; and 'wobble' base-pairing, i.e. permitting non-standard base-pairing at the 3rd anti-codon position. The record is from Rfam by way of RNAcentral. Lineage: Eukaryota; Metazoa; Chordata; Mammalia; Carnivora; Canidae.
GCCCAGCUGGCUCAGUUGGUAGAGCAUGUGACUCUUGAUCUCGGAGUCCUGAGUUCAAGCCCCAUGCUGGGCA